Molecule: ribosomal RNA, 429 nt
Filed under: bacterium
Lineage: Bacteria
Description: partial 16S ribosomal RNA
Rfam family: Bacterial small subunit ribosomal RNA
Source: RNAcentral
UGGGGAAUCUUCCGCAAUGGACGAAAGUCUGACGGAGCAACGCCGCGUGAGUGAUGACGGCCUUCGGGUUGUAAAGCUCUGUUAAUCGGGACGAAAGGCCUUCUUGCGAAUAGUGAGAAGGAUUGACGGUACCGGAAUAGAAAGCCACGGCUAACUACGUGCCAGCAGCCGCGGUAAUACGUAGGUGGCAAGCGUUGUCCGGAAUUAUUUGGCGUAAAGCGCGCGCAGGCGGAUAGGUAAGUCUGUCUUAAAAGUUCGGGGCUUAACCCCGUGAUGGGAUGGAAACUGCCAAUCUAGAGUAUCGGAGAGGAAAGUGGAAUUCCUAGUGUAGCGGUGAAAUGCGUAGAUAUUAGGAAGAACACCAGUGGCGAAGGCGACUUUCUGGACGAAAACUGACGCUGAGGUGCGAAAGCCAGGGGAGCGAACGGG